UCCCGUUUAGCUCAGUUGGUAGAGCGCGUCACUAGUACCUGGACCCCGGUCUGUAGGGCAAUGACGAGGUCAGUCGUUCGAGUCGGCUAAUGGGAA
Molecule: non-coding RNA, 96 nt
Organism: Cerioporus squamosus
Lineage: Eukaryota; Fungi; Basidiomycota; Agaricomycetes; Polyporales; Polyporaceae
Source: the annotation of a GenBank genome assembly